UACGUAGGUGGCGAGCGUUGUCCGGAUUUACUGGGCGUAAAGGGAGCGUAGGCGGACUUUUAAGUGAGAUGUGAAAUACCCGGGCUCAACUUGGGUGCUGCAUUUCAAACUGGAAGUCUAGAGUGCAGGAGAGGAGAAUGGAAUUCCGGGUGGAGUGGUGAAAUGCGUAGAGAUCCGGAGGAACACCAGAGGCGAAGGCGGCGCCCUGGGCUGCACCUGACGCUGAGCCGCGAAAGCCAGGGUAGCGAACGGGAUUAGAUACCCCCGUAGU
This 271-nucleotide ribosomal RNA is filed under the name uncultured prokaryote. RNAcentral describes it as "partial 16S ribosomal RNA". It matches the Rfam family "Bacterial small subunit ribosomal RNA", at positions 524 to 794 of the family's 1533-position model. The record is from RNAcentral.